UGGGGGGACCUGAUCCAGCCAUGCCGCGUGUGUGAAGAAGGCCUUUUGGUUGUAAAGCACUUUAAGCGAGGAGGAGGCUACCGAGAUUAAUACUCUUGGAUAGUGGACGUUACUCGCAGAAUAAGCACCGGCUAACUCUGUGCCAGCAGCCGCGGUAAUACAGAGGGUGCAAGCGUUAAUCGGAUUUACUGGGCGUAAAGCGCGCGUAGGUGGCCAAUUAAGUCAAAUGUGAAAUCCCCGAGCUUAACUUGGGAAUUGCAUUCGAUACUGGUUGGCUAGAGUAUGGGAGAGGAUGGUAGAAUUCCAGGUGUAGCGGUGAAAUGCGUAGAGAUCUGGAGGAAUACCGAUGGCGAAGGCAGCCAUCUGGCCUAAUACUGACACUGAGGUGCGAAAGCAUGGGGAGCAAACAGGAUUAGAUACCCUGGUAGUCCAUGCCGUAAACGAUGUCUACUAGCCGUUGGGGCCUUUGAGGCUUUAGUGGCGCAGCUAACGCGAUAAGUAGACCGCCUGGGGAGUACGGUCGCAAGACUAAAACUCAAAUGAAUUGACGGGGGCCCGCACAAGCGGUGGAGCAUGUGGUUUAAUUCGAUGCAACGCGAAGAACCUUACCUGGUCUUGACAUAGUAAGAACUUUCCAGAGAUGGAUUGGUGCCUUCGGGAACUUACAUACAGGUGCUGCAUGGCUGUCGUCAGCUCGUGUCGUGAGAUGUUGGGUUAAGUCCCGCAACGAGCGCAACCCUUUUCCUUAUUUGCCAGCGGGUUAAGCCGGGAACUUUAA
This 778-nucleotide ribosomal RNA is filed under the name Acinetobacter lwoffii. RNAcentral's name for it is "bacterial SSU rRNA". It matches the Rfam family "Bacterial small subunit ribosomal RNA", at positions 372 to 1143 of the family's 1533-position model. Lineage: Bacteria; Pseudomonadati; Pseudomonadota; Gammaproteobacteria; Moraxellales; Moraxellaceae. The record is from RNAcentral.